Molecule: ribosomal RNA, 1354 nt
Filed under: uncultured bacterium
Lineage: Bacteria
Description: partial 16S ribosomal RNA
Rfam family: Bacterial small subunit ribosomal RNA
Source: RNAcentral
AGGCUUAACACAUGCAAGUCGAGGGGCAGCAUGUCCAGCAAUGGAUGAUGGCGACCGGCGGAAGGGUGCGUAACGCGUGAGCAACAUGCCCUAUACAGGGAGAUACACCAGGGAAACUUGGUCUAAUAUCCCAUAGCAUUCAUUGAAGGCAUCUUUAAUGAAUUAAAGCUUCGGUGGUAUAGGAUUGGCUCGCGUGACAUUAGCCAGAUGGUGAGGUAACGGCUCACCAUAGCAAUGAUGUCUAGGGGUUUUGAGAGGAAGGCCCCCCACACUGGGACUGAGACACGGCCCAGACUCCUACGGGAGGCAGCAGUGAGGAAUAUUGGACAAUGGAUGGAAAUCUGAUCCAGCCAUGCCGCGUGCAGGAAGACGGCCUUAUGGGUUGUAAACUGCUUUUAUACGGGAGCAAUAAGGGUUACGAGUAAUCCGAUGAGAGUACUGUAUGAAUAAGGAUCGGCUAACUCCGUGCCAGCAGCCGCGGUAAUACGGAGGAUCCGAGCGUUAUCCGGAUUUAUUGGGUUUAAAGGGUGCGUAGGCGGAAAUGUAAGUCAGUGGUGAAAUCCUGCAGCUUAACUGUAGAAUAGCCGUUGAAACUGUGUUUCUUGAGUACAUUUGAGGUAGGCGGAAUGUGGUGUGUAGCGGUGAAAUGCAUAGAUAUACCACAGAACACCGAUUGCGAAGGCAGCUUACUAAACUGUCACUGACGCUGAUGCACGAAAGCGUGGGUAUCAAACAGGAUUAGAUACCCUGGUAGUCCACGCUGUAAACGAUGAUUACUGGUUGUUUGCGAUACACUGCAAGUGACUGAGCGAAAGCAUUAAGUAAUCCACCUGGGGAGUACGUCGGCAACGAUGAAACUCAAAGGAAUUGACGGGGGCCCGCACAAGCGGAGGAACAUGUGGUUUAAUUCGAUGAUACGCGAGGAACCUUACCUGGGUUUAAAUGGGGAGUGACAGGCUUGGAAACAGGCCCUUCUUCGGACACUCUUCAAGGUGCUGCAUGGUUGUCGUCAGCUCGUGCCGUGAGGUGUCGGGUUAAGUCCCGCAACGAGCGCAACUCUUAUCGCUAUUUGCCAUCAUUAAGUUGGGGACUAUAGCGAGACUGCCAGUGACAAACUGGAGGAAGGUGGGAAUGACGUCAAAUCAUCAUGCCCCUUAUGACCUGGGCUACAAACGUGAUACAAUGGCUGGAACAAAGAGAAGCGAAGCAGUGAUGUGGAGCCAAACUCAUAAAAACAGUCUCAGUUCGAAUUGGAGUCUGCAACUCGACUCCAUGAAGUCGGAAUCGCUAGUAAUCGCGAAUCAGCAUGUCGCGGUGAAUACGUUCUCGGGGUUUGUACACACGGCCCGUCAAG